Long non-coding RNA from Sapajus apella (tufted capuchin), 523 nucleotides. RefSeq lists it as uncharacterized. The record is from RefSeq and is a predicted model, not a curated record. The transcript has 2 exons. Lineage: Eukaryota; Metazoa; Chordata; Mammalia; Primates; Cebidae.
GUCUUGGCCAGGCUGGUCUUAAACUCCUGACCUCAGGUGAUCCACCUGCCUCAGCCUCCCAAAGUGCUGGGAUUACAGGUGUCAGCCAUCACGCCCAGCCUACUGUUAGUUUUGAUCUGCCUAGUUACAGAAGUUAUAUUUCUUUGUUUAUUUGUAUCAUAAGUAAUCUAGAAGAUAUAUAUAUAUAUGUGUGUGCUGUUAUAUAUGUUUACAUGGCUUCACCACUGCAGCUCUUCAUAACUGAGAGCCAAAGAUGAGUACUUCUGAGCUAUAACUCUUCUUUUUACAAAUUUUGAUUAUUAUAAUUUGUAAUGAACUGUGCUAGUAGGCUCUAUUUGCAAAGUCAUGUUGACAUGUUGUGGCAAAUUGGAUGCAGUAAUCAUUAAAUUGACUUAACUGGCUACUGCCAAGUCAUACCAACCUUGAUUUGAAAAUAUCUCUGAUUAUAGGGUCCAACUUCAUUGUACUUUUUAGUAAAUUAUAUGCCAAACCUUUUGCUUUUUUUUUUUUUUUUUUUUUUUUU